AGCGAACGCUGGCGGCAGGCUUAACACAUGCAAGUCGAGCGGGCACUUUCGGGUGUCAGCGGCGGACGGGUGAGUAACGCGUGGGAACGUGCCCUCUGGUUCGGAAUAACUCAGGGAAACUUGAGCUAAUACCGGAUACGCCCUUUUGGGGAAAGGCUUGCUGCCGGAGGAUCGGCCCGCGUCUGAUUAGCUAGUUGGUGAGGUAACGGCUCACCAGGGCGACGAUCAGUAGCUGGUCUGAGAGGAUGAUCAGCCACACUGGGACUGAGACACGGCCCAGACUCCUACGGGAGGCAGCAGUGGGGAAUAUUGGACAAUGGGCGCAAGCCUGAUCCAGCCAUGCCGCGUGAGUGAUGAAGGCCUUAGGGUUGUAAAGCUCUUUUAUCCGGGACGAUAAUGACGGUACCGGAGGAAUAAGCCCCGGCUAACUUCGUG
This 435-nucleotide ribosomal RNA is filed under the name uncultured bacterium. RNAcentral's name for it is "partial 16S ribosomal RNA". It matches the Rfam family "Bacterial small subunit ribosomal RNA", at positions 29 to 507 of the family's 1533-position model. The record is from RNAcentral.